Molecule: ribosomal RNA, 460 nt
Filed under: uncultured bacterium
Lineage: Bacteria
Description: partial 16S ribosomal RNA
Rfam family: Bacterial small subunit ribosomal RNA
Source: RNAcentral
CCUACGGGAGUCAGCAGUGAGGAAUAUUGGUCAAUGGACGAGAGUCUGAACCAGCCAAGUAGCGUGAAGGAUGACUGCCCUAUGGGUUGUAAACUUCUUUUAUAUGGGAAUAAAAUGUUCCACGUGUGGGAUUUUGUAUGUACCAUAUGAAUAAGGAUCGGCUAACUCCGUGCCAGCAGCCGCGGUAAUACGGAGGAUCCGAGCGUUAGCCGGAUUUAUUGGGUUUAAAGGGAGCGUAGGUGGAUUGUUAAGUCAGUUGUGAAAGUUUGCGGCUCAACCGUAAAAUUGCAGUUGAAACUGGCAGUCGUGAGUACAGUAGAGGUGGGCGGAAUUCGUGGUGUAGCGGUGAAAUGCUUAGAUAUCACGAAGAACUCCGAUUGCGAAGGCAGCUCACUGGACUGCAACUGACACUGAGGCUCGAAAGUGUGGGUAUCAAACAGGAUUAGAUACCCUGGUAGUC